Molecule: ribosomal RNA, 439 nt
Filed under: uncultured bacterium
Lineage: Bacteria
Description: partial 16S ribosomal RNA
Rfam family: Bacterial small subunit ribosomal RNA
Source: RNAcentral
CUACGGGUCGCUCCAGUGAGGAAUAUUGCACAAUGGGGGGAACCCUGAUGCAGCAACGCCGCGUGGAGGAUGACGCAUUUCGGUGUGUAAACUCCUUUUAUAUGUCAAGAAAAUGACGGUAGCAUAUGAAUAAGCACCGGCUAACUCCGUGCCAGCAGCCGCGGUAAUACGGAGGGUGCAAGCGUUACUCGGAAUCACUGGGCGUAAAGGACGCGUAGGCGGGCUUGUAAGUCAGGUGUGAAAUCCUACAGCUUAACUGUAGAACUGCACUUGAAACUACGAGCCUAGAGUAUGGGAGGGGGAGAUGGAAUUAGUGGUGUAGGGGUAAAAUCCGUAGAUAUCACUAGGAAUACCUAAAGCGAAGGCGAUCUCCUGGAACAUUACUGACGCUAAGGCGUGAAAGCGUGGGGAGCAAACAGGAUUAGAUACCCCCGUAGUC